GAGGGUGUAGCUCAGUGGUGGAGCCCAUGCCCGGAAUGCACGACGUCCUGGGUUCAAUCCCCAGUACCUCCA
Molecule: transfer RNA, 72 nt
Filed under: Camelus dromedarius (Arabian camel)
Lineage: Eukaryota; Metazoa; Chordata; Mammalia; Artiodactyla; Camelidae
Also listed under: 1 other name
Rfam family: tRNA
About the family: Transfer RNA (tRNA) molecules are approximately 80 nucleotides in length. Their secondary structure includes four short double-helical elements and three loops (D, anti-codon, and T loops).
Source: Rfam by way of RNAcentral